RNAcentral lists this ribosomal RNA (497 nucleotides) under uncultured bacterium. Its description in RNAcentral is "partial 16S ribosomal RNA". It matches the Rfam family "Bacterial small subunit ribosomal RNA", at positions 28 to 507 of the family's 1533-position model. The record is from RNAcentral.
GAUGAACGCUGGCGGCGUGCCUAAUACAUGCAAGUCGAGCGAACAGACGCUGAGCUUUCUCCUCUGACGUGAGCGGCGGGCGAGUGAUUAGCACGUGGAUAACCUACCUAUAAGACUGAGAUAACUGCGUGAAACCGGAGCUAAUACCGUUUGAUAUAUUGAACCGCAGGGUUCAAUAGUUAAAUACGGUUUUGCUGUCACGUAUAUAUGGAUCCGCGCCGCAUUAGCUAGUUGGUAAGGUAACGGCUUGCCAAGGCAACGAUGCAUAGCCGACAUGAGAGGGUGAUCGUCUACACUGGAACUGAGACACGUCACAGACUCCUAAGGGAGGACGCAGUCGGGACUCUUACGCAAUGGACGAAAGCCUGAUGGAGCAACGCCGGGUGAGUGAUGAAGGUCCUAGGAUCGUAAAACUCUGUUAUUAGGGAAGAACAAAUGUGCAAUUAACUAUGCACGUCUUGACGGUAACUAAUCAGAAAGCAACGGCUAACUACGUG